GUCCUUGAUGAUAGCUGCCAUCCCUAAUAUUAUUGGUUGGCUUGCAAUAUCAUUUGCCAAAGAUUACUCAUUUCUUUACAUGGGAAGACUGUUGGAGGGUUUUGGUGUGGGAAUAAUAUCGUACACGGUUCCUGUAUAUAUAGCUGAGAUAGCACCUCAAAACAUGAGAGGCCGCCUUGGUUCUGU
This is a long non-coding RNA of Malania oleifera, 186 nucleotides long. RefSeq lists it as uncharacterized. The record is from RefSeq and is a predicted model, not a curated record. Lineage: Eukaryota; Viridiplantae; Streptophyta; Magnoliopsida; Santalales; Ximeniaceae. The transcript is spliced from 3 exons.